GUGUGUGUGUGAGAGAGAGAGAGAGAGAGAGAGAGAGAGAGAAACUUUGCAAAGGCUGUAGAUGAGGAGGGAGGAUUGGAGAGGGGGAGGAGAGAGGGAGGGAAGGAGGGGAGGCUUCUCUCUCUCUCUCUCUCUCUCUCUCUCUCUCUCUCUUUCUUUCUCU
This is a non-coding RNA of Podarcis lilfordi (Lilford's wall lizard), 163 nucleotides long. NCBI's taxonomy places the organism in Eukaryota, Metazoa, Chordata, Lepidosauria, Squamata, Lacertidae. The record is from the annotation of a GenBank genome assembly.